AAGACCUAGUAUUGAAAAAGAUCCUUCCUCUAUAAAAGAAUUUUAGAGAAAAAUGAGUAAACUUGGGAAUGUCCUUAUGUUGUAAAGAAGACAUUUUCCGGAGGAGCACUGAUCUUGAGUGAGAUGGAUAGUAAAACUUGUCUAAUCCUGUAAACUCAGAUUCAAUCAAGAAAUGCUUCGCUUAAAGAUGGAGAGGAUCAAGGUAAAAACCCGCAAAUGGCACUUUGAGUCGUAAAAAAAAAGAAAAGAAAAAAGAGAUGAGAUGUGAUGUGAAAAAAAUGAAAAUGAAAAAUGAAAAAUGGAAAAAGUAAAAGUGGAGAGGCUAAGGUGAAAACUCGCAAGGGGCACCUUAGACCAAAGGGGAUUUGAGUUGAAAACCUGAAAAAGGCGACUCAAAUAUUG
Molecule: long non-coding RNA, 402 nt
Filed under: Gossypium raimondii (Peruvian cotton)
Lineage: Eukaryota; Viridiplantae; Streptophyta; Magnoliopsida; Malvales; Malvaceae
Description: long non-coding RNA (GRAI_LNC002442)
Source: RNAcentral